CUCCUACGGGAGGCAGCAGUAGGGAAUCUUCGGCAAUGGGGGGAACCCUGACCGAGCAACGCCGCGUGAGUGAAGAAGGUUUUCGGAUCGUAAAGCUCUGUUGUUAAGGAAGAACGAGUGUGAGAAUGGAAAGUUCAUACUGUGACGGUACUUAACCAGAAAGGGACGGCUAACUACGUGCCAGCAGCCGCGGUAAUACGUAGGUCCCGAGCGUUGUCCGGAUUUAUUGGGCGUAAAGCGAGCGCAGGCGGUUAGAAAAGUCUGAAGUUAAAGGCUGUGGCUUAACCAUAGUACGCUUUGGAAACUGUUUAACUUGAGUGCAGAAGGGGAGAGUGGAAUUCCAUGUGUAGCGGUGAAAUGCGUAGAUAUAUGGAGGAACACCGGUGGCGAAAGCGGCUCUCUGGUCUGUAACUGACGCUGAGGCUCGAAAGCGUGGGGAGCGAACAGGAUUAGAUACCCUGGUAGUCCACGCCGUAAACGAUGAGUGCUAGGUGUUAGGUCCUUUCCGGGACUUAGUGCCGCAGCUAACGCAUUAAGCACUCCGCCUGGGGAGUACGACCGCAAGGUUGAAACUCAAAGGAAUUGACGGGGGCCCGCACAAGCGGUGGAGCAUGUGGUUUAAUUCGAAGCAACGCGAAGAACCUUACCAGGUCUUGACAUCCCGAUGCUAUUUCUAGAGAUAGGAAGUUUCUUCGGAACAUCGGUGACAGGUGGUGCAUGGUUGUCGUCAGCUCGUGUCGUGAGAUGUUGGGUUAAGUCCCGCAACGAGCGCAACCCUUAUUGUUAGUUGCCAUCAUUGAGUUGGGCACUCUAGCGAGACUGCCGGUAAUAAACCGGAGGAAGGUGGGGAUGACGUCAAAUCAUCAUGCCCCUUAUGACCUGGGCUACACACGUGCUACAAUGGCUGGUACAACGAGUCGCAAGCCGGUGACGGCAAGCUAAUCUCUGAAAGCCAGUCUCAGUUCGGAUUGUAGGCUGCAACUCGCCUACAUGAAGUCGGAAUCGCUAGUAAUCGCGGAUCAGCACGCCGCGGUGAAUACGUUCCCGGGCCUUGUACACACCGC
Molecule: ribosomal RNA, 1064 nt
Filed under: uncultured bacterium
Lineage: Bacteria
Description: bacterial SSU rRNA
Rfam family: Bacterial small subunit ribosomal RNA
Source: RNAcentral